RNAcentral lists this long non-coding RNA (1449 nucleotides) under Mus spicilegus (steppe mouse). Its description in RNAcentral is "lncRNA (ENSMSIG00000024697.1)". The record is from RNAcentral. Lineage: Eukaryota; Metazoa; Chordata; Mammalia; Rodentia; Muridae.
AGGUUCAAAAACAAGUUUUCAAGUACAUCUGUUUUUCUUCAGAGCUGGGACUGAAUCCAGGACCUCACUGAUGGGGAGCCAGCACUCUGCCAACCUUCAAUACCAGUAACCACAAAAAACCUUCCAAUCUCGAAAAUGAAAAGAUAAAAACAAAAUAUCAAUUCUAGUGGAGGGUAAAGCACGCACUUCAAAGCAGAACAUGAUUAUGAUCAGCUGCUUCUAGCUGGUAAUCUUCAAAGUAAAAACUUUGGCCCAACAAAUCUUUGAGUCUCACUUUCACCUAGCUAGGGCACAGCGCGCCCCCUACUGGGAGUUCCCGAUUGAAUUCAAAAGCUCACUUUUAAUAUAUACUUGAGGAGUUUAACACCAAUGUUUGAAACUUUAAGGGAUUUUACAACUCAUCGUCGUACAGUUAUUUGUUUCUUGUACCCAUAAAGUUCAUUUUCAACAUUUUCCAUCAGAACCAUCUUAGCCUCGCAACAAACGUCAGGGCUCUCAUAUCUCUCAGCUUUUCCACUACCUCUCCCAUGAUGCCUUCCAUUCCCUCCCAUCCUAGGUGAGUCUCGACCUGGAUGCUGAGAAUAAAACCCAGGUCCUCUGCAAGCUGCUUUUAACCACGGAGCCAACUCUCCAUCCACCUCCGACACUAGGACCCGCACCUUCCAAAUCCCACCGAGGGACUUCAACUAUGACCCCCUGAGCCCCCGCGAGGCGAGUUUCCGGAGCUCGGCUGGGUGGGUGGGAAUGUGGUGCGCUGGGGAGGUAUAGAUCGCUUUGGUCUGCGCCUGCCCGGAGGAGUUGGGAAACAGCAGCCACAGCUCCUACCUUCCCAGCCAUGGCCUAAGGCGACUAGCUUGGGCACUGGCCACAGACAGAGUCUGGCAGUUCUAAACCCCACCCCAAGCUGACCACUGAAUCCCUGGGCUCUGCCUCUCACACUUUGUUAAGUUUAUCCUUCAGUUAUUGCACCACUCUCGAGCAACAAGCACCGCCCACAGACUGGUGCCUCAGGCCCGGGCUCCGCCUCUUGCCUGCCUACGUUCCGCCCUCGUCCUGUUGCUCCCCACCGGGCUCCACCUCUCGCGCACCAAGCCCCGCCCUCAGUCUAUUUCUCCACAUCCGGGCUCUGCCCUCUGGACCCCUGAGCUCCGCCCUCAGCCGCUGGCGUCACACCGAGGCCCCACCUCCCACGUGCCAGCGCUCCUCUCCCAGCGCUCACUGGUCCUUCCAGCAGUCCUCAGGUUGCACGCGACCGGCAGUGAACUUCCACUGGGUAGGGGUGGGAAGCCGGUGGCUCCAGGCAGCGGUGAUAACCCAGCAAGGAAGCAGAGUCGCAUUUCGGAGCGUCCACUCGUAACGCGGCCUCUCGCACACGGAGCCCGUAGUCCAGGGGAGAGGAGGCCAGGGCGGCCCUGGAGAGGUUGUAGCAUGCACUUGAACCUGCUGUAG